UACCAUCAUCGCCUCGUUUCCUACUCUUUAGACAGCUCUUCCGGUAUUUUCUCUUGCUUCCACCUCUCUUGACGCCCUUGUGAGAAGCUCGGUUCUUGCCUCUCCUCAUGCCAUGAGUCUUUAGCUUGCGGCUGGUCGACAUUGUAAUUUCUGCCAAUAUGAGGGGCUUUGCAAGGCCGGCAGGGCCGGGAGUCCAUGUAUUUAAGGACUUGGCCAUUGUGACCGCAAAGGGGUGUGGCUUAGCAGCCGGCUGUGGAUCUCUUGUGACAUCACUAGCCUUUGCUACACCUUAGUGGUACAUAAGUAAUAAGGAAGCAGUCUCUUCAGUGCUGGUCUGGUCCCCUUUUUAGGUUAAAGAAGGCUUUUCAGACAGUUAUCCUUAUCCAAGAACUGAGCAAGCAUGUAGGAGGCUCCUAGCAAAGCUGGUGGAGUAGAAAAGAGGAGGUAGCUUAACUCCCCAUCUCAUAUUUCUCAUGUUUACAGGAUUAAGACUGCAGGUGCACACUACCACAUCCAGCGCCUAUAAAUACCUGGGGAAACAAAAUAAGUUCCCAGGAAGAGUAAAAUUGCAUGUUCCGGCUAAAGAGGGAUUGGGACACCUGAAGAGAUUGGAGAAAUCCCUCAGGAAAGAGUUCCAUAAUGAUGGCACUCUGCUCGUCUUAGCAGCAGGCUCUUCUCAACUGUAAACGGUUGGUUUGGAACGUGUGGUCCCAGUGGUCCUGCUUCACCCUAUCCAGAAGCAGUUGCCCUGCUUUGAGGAGCCUG
Long non-coding RNA from Mastomys coucha (southern multimammate mouse), 765 nucleotides. RefSeq lists it as uncharacterized. The transcript is spliced from 4 exons. NCBI's taxonomy places the organism in Eukaryota, Metazoa, Chordata, Mammalia, Rodentia, Muridae. The record is from RefSeq and is a predicted model, not a curated record.